This 213-nucleotide ribosomal RNA is filed under the name Triticum aestivum (bread wheat). RNAcentral describes it as "partial small subunit ribosomal RNA". The record is from RNAcentral. Lineage: Eukaryota; Viridiplantae; Streptophyta; Magnoliopsida; Poales; Poaceae.
AUGGCGGCAGCGCAAGGCCUAGGCAAAGAGCGGCCGCUGUACAAGGACGCAUCGGCGCCGGUAGAGGCGCGCGUGCGCGACCUGCUGGUCCGCAUGACGCUGCAGGAGAAGGCGGGCCAGAUGGCCCAGAUCGAGCUCUCCGUGGCGCCGCCCCGCGCCCUCACGAAGCUCGGCGUCGGCAGCCUCCUCAACGGCGGCGGCAGGCCGCCCUAG